Molecule: transfer RNA, 71 nt
Filed under: Kwoniella bestiolae CBS 10118
Lineage: Eukaryota; Fungi; Basidiomycota; Tremellomycetes; Tremellales; Cryptococcaceae
Description: tRNA-Leu (GAG) (tRNA-Leu-GAG-1-1)
Rfam family: tRNA
About the family: Transfer RNA (tRNA) molecules are approximately 80 nucleotides in length. Their secondary structure includes four short double-helical elements and three loops (D, anti-codon, and T loops).
Source: RNAcentral
CCUCUGCUAGCUUAGCGGUUAGAGUGCCCUUCUGAGUAAAGGAAAGCCUGGUUCGAGUCCAGGGCAGAGGA